AACGAACGCUGGCGGCAGGCCUAACACAUGCAAGUCGAGCGAGACCUUCGGGUCUAGGGGCGGAGGGGUGAGUAACGCGUGGGAACGUGCCCUUUUCUACGGAAUAGUCUCGGGAAACUGAGCGUAAUACCGUAUAGGCCCUUUGGGGGAAAGAGUUAUCGGAGAAGGAUCGGCCCGCGUUGGUUUAGGUAGUUGGUGUGGGAAUGGCCUACCAAGACUACGAUCCAUAGCUGGUGGGAGAGGAGGAUCAGCCACACUGGGACUGAGACACGGCCCAGACUCCUGCGGGAAGUAGCAGUGGGAGUCUUAGGCAAUGGGGGCAACUCCGACCUAGCCAUGCGGCGUGAGUGAUGCAGGCCUUAGGGUUCUAAAUCCCUUUCAGCUGGGAAGAUAAUGACGGUACCAGCAGAAGAAGCCCCGGCUAACUCCGUG
This 432-nucleotide ribosomal RNA is filed under the name uncultured bacterium. RNAcentral's name for it is "partial 16S ribosomal RNA". It matches the Rfam family "Bacterial small subunit ribosomal RNA", at positions 29 to 507 of the family's 1533-position model. The record is from RNAcentral.